RNAcentral lists this ribosomal RNA (132 nucleotides) under Escherichia coli. RNAcentral describes it as "partial 16S ribosomal RNA". It matches the Rfam family "Bacterial small subunit ribosomal RNA", at positions 1 to 123 of the family's 1533-position model. Lineage: Bacteria; Pseudomonadati; Pseudomonadota; Gammaproteobacteria; Enterobacterales; Enterobacteriaceae. The record is from RNAcentral.
UUAAAUUGAAGAGUUUGAUCAUGGCUCAGAUUGAACGCUGGCGGCAGGCCUAACACAUGCAAGUCGAACGGUAACAGAAAGCAGCUUGCUGCUUUGCUGACGAGUGGCGGACGGGUGAGUAAUGUCUGGGAA